Oncorhynchus tshawytscha (Chinook salmon) is the source of this 396-nucleotide long non-coding RNA. Lineage: Eukaryota; Metazoa; Chordata; Actinopteri; Salmoniformes; Salmonidae. The record is from Ensembl.
UGGUGGAGGUAGUAGUGGAGGUGGUGGUUGUGCAGGUGGUGUUGGAGGUGGUGGUGGAGGUGGUGGAGGUGGUGGCGAUUUGGAGAUAAUGGGGGAGGUGGUGGAGGAGGUGGUGGUUGCAGAGGUUGUGGUGGAUGUGAUGGAGGUGGUGGAGAUGGUGAUGUAGGUAGUGGUGGUUGUAGAGGUAGUGGUGGAGGUGCUGGAGGUGGUGGAGGUAGUGGUGGAGGUGGAGGUGGUUGUAGAUGUGGUGGUUGUGGAGGUAGUGGUGGAGGUGGAGGUUGUUGUGGAGGUGGUGGUGGUUGUGGAGGUGGUGGAGGUGGUGGUGGUGGUGGAGGUGGUGGUGGUUGUGGAGUUGGUGGUGGUUGUGGAGGUAGUGGUGGAGGUAGUGGUGGUUGU